Molecule: ribosomal RNA, 280 nt
Filed under: uncultured marine picoeukaryote
Lineage: Eukaryota
Description: partial 18S ribosomal RNA
Rfam family: Eukaryotic small subunit ribosomal RNA
Source: RNAcentral
AACGCAAUGUUCUUUGGUGGUGUUUACUACAUGGGAUAACCGUAGUAAUUCCAGAGCUAAUACCUGGGUAAAUCCCGACUUCUGAAGGGACGUAUUUGUUAAAUAAAGACCGACCUCGUUCUGCGGUGAAUCGUGAUAACUUUACGGACCGCAUGGCCUCGCGCCGGCGGUGUUCCAUUCAAAUUUCUGCCCUAUCAACUUUCGACGGUAGGAUAAAGGCCUACCGUGGUGUUCACGGGUGACGGAAAAUUAGGGUUCGAUUCCGGAGAGGGAGCCUGAA